GUGGGGAAUCUUAGACAAUGGGGGAAACCCUGAUCUAGCCAUGCCGCGUGAUCGAGGAAGGCCUUAGGGUUGUAAAGAUCUUUCGCUGGGGAAGAGAAUGACUGUACCCAGUAAAGAAGCCCCGGCUAACUCCGUGCCAGCAGCCGCGGUAAUACGGAGGGGGCUAGAGUUAUUCGGAAUUACUGGGAGUAAAGCGCACGUAGGCGGACUGAACAGUUGGGGGUGAAAUCCAGUGGCUCAACCUCGGAACUGACUUCAAAACGCCCAGUCUUGAGUUCGAGAGGUGUGAGUGGAAUUCCGAGUGGAGAGGUGAAAUUCAUAGAUAUUCGGGGGAACACCAGGGGCGAAGGCGGCUCACUGGCUCGAUACUGACGCUGAGGUGCGAAAGAGUGGGGAGCAAACAGGAUUAGAUACCCUGGUAGUCC
RNAcentral lists this ribosomal RNA (425 nucleotides) under uncultured bacterium. RNAcentral describes it as "partial 16S ribosomal RNA". It matches the Rfam family "Bacterial small subunit ribosomal RNA", at positions 354 to 796 of the family's 1533-position model. The record is from RNAcentral.